AUGACCCAAAAUGUAGAUCAUAUGGAGCAAAAGAGGCAACUGGAAAGGGAACGGUAUUCACAAAAUAGGGAUGACAUAAUAAAAAGACAACGUCAAGCCUACGGUCAGAAAAAAUUGUCUCAGGCUUCUACAGGGACCGGUGCCCAGAAAGAUGAAACACAAACACCGAUGUCCACAUCCAUUGACCCUAAAGAGUUAAGGAGGCAAAGGGACAGGGAGCGGUAUGCACAAAACAGGGAUGAAAUAUUAAGAAGAAAACGCCAAUCCCGUGAACAGUCAAAGACAUCUAUUGCCACCGUUAACAGUGUUGACAAUGUGUCACGCACACCAGCUACAGGACAAUCGGGUGUCAGCCAGCUACAAACAAUAUCAUUUGCAGGCUUAUCAAACAUGCCAACUUCAUCCCAAUCACAUGAAGGGAUCCCUCCUCACAAGGACAAUAUUUUAGGAAACAUUGAUGAAUCCAAUUGGUUGCAUAGGAAUGAUGCAUAUCAGAUGGUAGAAAUUGCAGGGAGACUGAGAGCUGUUGUUGUACCUCUUGGUCAUGAAACGCAAACAAUUUCCAAUGUCACUGCAGAUAUUGCACCAGUGGGCAACGACCAGACAGCUGAUCCAUAUGGAAUAUUUGAGCCUCCUGUUCAACAAACCAAUUUUCAAGAUUACAUGGAGCCACUGCAGAAUGGAGAAGCCGCAUACCAUGAUCCUGAUGAAGAAGCUAUACUAUUUAUAGGUCAGGAUGUUGCUUUCGAGUCGUACCAGCUUGGACGCCAGAAUGCACAAGUAGGACCUGUAGCAGUGAUUGAUGAAUUCAUAUACCGAAACCUACCUACAAAGCACCAUGUCCUAAAAAAGGUUGCAGACUGCCUUCACUGUGGGGCUUUGCGGUUUCCAUUCGAGGGGCCAGCAUUUUGUUGCAGAAAAGGAAAAGUAUCGGUCAUCAUUUCUUAUUCUUCAAUUCUUAUUGUGUCAAUCAUUAUGAGUCCAGCCAGCACACUGAUAUUUAUGUUGUCAAUCUGUAGAGGACAACGAUGA
RNAcentral lists this ribosomal RNA (1032 nucleotides) under Triticum aestivum (bread wheat). RNAcentral's name for it is "partial small subunit ribosomal RNA". Lineage: Eukaryota; Viridiplantae; Streptophyta; Magnoliopsida; Poales; Poaceae. The record is from RNAcentral.